GAGAAGAGGAACUACCCAGUUAACCAUUCCGAACCUGGAAGUCAAGCUCUUCAUCGCUGA
This 60-nucleotide ribosomal RNA is filed under the name Helicobacter pylori UM114. The record is from RNAcentral. Lineage: Bacteria; Pseudomonadati; Campylobacterota; Epsilonproteobacteria; Campylobacterales; Helicobacteraceae.